Small nucleolar RNA from Jaculus jaculus (lesser Egyptian jerboa), 134 nucleotides. NCBI's taxonomy places the organism in Eukaryota, Metazoa, Chordata, Mammalia, Rodentia, Dipodidae. The record is from Ensembl.
AGCCUUUGUGUUGCCCAUUCACUUUUGGAAACUAGUGAAUGUGGUGUCAAAAAAGGCAUAAAUAAAUGCUUCUGCAGCUGUUUCCGAUCCUUAAAUUUUGUAUCUUUGGUAUAGGAGCUGCUUAAGUAACAAUU